UACGGAGGGGGCGAGCGUUAUUCGGAAUUAUUGGGCGUAAAGGGCGCGUAGGCGGCCAAGUAAGUCAAAGGUGGAAUCCCUCGGCUCAACUGAGGAAUUGCCUUUGAAACUGCGUGGCUUGAGGCCGGGAGGGGGUAGCGGAAUUCCCAGUGUAGCGGUGAAAUGCGUAGAUACUGGGAGGAACACCAGUGGCGAAGGCGGCUACCUGGACCGGUUCUGACGCUGAUGCGCGAAAGCGUGGGGAGCAAACAGG
RNAcentral lists this ribosomal RNA (253 nucleotides) under uncultured bacterium. RNAcentral describes it as "partial 16S ribosomal RNA". It matches the Rfam family "Bacterial small subunit ribosomal RNA", at positions 524 to 776 of the family's 1533-position model. The record is from RNAcentral.